ACUUGUGGCUGGGGGUGAAAGGCCAAUCAAACCGGGAGAUAGCUGGUUCUCCCCGAAAGCUAUUUAGGUAGCGCCUCGGACGAAUACUACUGGGGGUAGAGCACUGUUAAGGCUAGGGGGUCAUCCCGACUUACCAACCCUUUGCAAACUCCGAAUACCAGUAAGUACUAUCCGGGAGACACACGGCGGGUGCUAACGUCCGUCGUGGAGAGGGAAACAACCCAGACCGCCAGCUAAGGUCCCAAAGUAUAGCUAAGUGGGAAACGAUGUGGGAAGGCUCAGACAGCCAGGAUGUUGGCUUAGAAGCAGCCAUCAUUUAAAGAAAGCGUAAUAGCUCACUGGUCGAGUCGGCCUGCGCGGAAGAUGUAACGGGGCUAAGCUAUACACCGAAGCUGCGGCUACGCACUUAUGUGCGUGGGGUAGGGGAGCGUUCUGUAAGCCGUUGAAGGUGGUCUGUAAGGGCUGCUGGAGGUAUCAGAAGUGCGAAUGCUGACAUGAGUAACGAUAAAGGGAGUGAAAAACUCCCUCGCCGGAAGACCAAGGGUUCCUGUCCAACGUUAAUCGGGGCAGGGUAAGUCGACCCCUAAGGCGAGGCCGAAAGGCGUAGUCGAUGGGAAACGGGUUAAUAUUCCCGUACUUCUUACAAUUGCGAUGGGGGGACGGAGAAGGCUAGGUGGGCCUGGCGACGGUUGUCCAGGUUCAAGUACGUAGGCGGAAAGUUUAGGUAAAUCCGGACUUUCAUAACGCUGAGAUACGAUGUCGAGCUACUACGGUAGUGAAGUCAUUGAUGCCAUGCUUCCAGGAAAAGCCUCUAAGCUUCAGAUUGUAAGGAAUCGUACCCCAAACCGACACAGGUGGUCGGGUAGAGAAUACCAAGGCGCUUGAGAGAACUCGGGUGAAGGAACUAGGCAAAAUGGUACCGUAACUUCGGGAGAAGGUACGCUCUUAUCAGUGAAGUCCCUUGCGGAUGGAGCAGACGAGAGUCGCAGAUACCAGGUGGCUGCAACUGUUUAUUAAAAACACAGCACUGUGCAAAAUCGUAAGAUGACGUAUACGGUGUGACGCCUGCCCGGUGCCGGAAGGUUAAUUGAUGGGGUUAGACUUCGGUCGAAGCUCUUGAUCGAAGCCCCGGUAAACGGCGGCCGUAACUAUAACGGUCCUAAGGUAGCGAAAUUCCUUGUCGGGUAAGUUCCGACCUGCACGAAUGGCGUAAUGAUGGCCACGCUGUCUCCACCCGAGACUCAGUGAAAUUGAAAUCGCUGUGAAGAUGCAGUGUACCCGCGGCUAGACGGAAAGACCCCGUGAACCUUUACUACAGCUUGGCACUGAACAUUGACCCUACAUGUGUAGGAUAGGUGGGAGACUUUGAAACCGCGUCGCCAGAUGUGGUGGAGUCGUCCUUGAAAUACCACCCUUGUAGUGUUGAUGUUCUAACGUUGGUCCCUGAAUCGGGAUUACGGACAGUGCCUGGUGGGUAGUUUGACUGGGGCGGUCUCCUCCCAAAGAGUAACGGAGGAGCACGAAGGUGGGCUAAUCACGGUUGGACAUCGUGAGGUUAGUGCAAUGGCAUAAGCCCGCUUGACUGCGAGAAUGACAAUUCGAGCAGGUGCGAAAGCAGGUCAUAGUGAUCCGGUGGUUCUGAAUGGAAGGGCCAUCGCUCAACGGAUAAAAGGUACUCCGGGGAUAACAGGCUGAUACCGCCCAAGAGUUCAUAUCGACGGCGGUGUUUGGCACCUCGAUGUCGGCUCAUCACAUCCUGGGGCUGAAGU
This 1769-nucleotide ribosomal RNA is filed under the name marine sediment metagenome. Its description in RNAcentral is "bacterial LSU rRNA". It matches the Rfam family "Bacterial large subunit ribosomal RNA", at positions 807 to 2559 of the family's 2925-position model. The record is from RNAcentral.